This is a long non-coding RNA of Topomyia yanbarensis, 554 nucleotides long. RefSeq lists it as uncharacterized. The transcript is spliced from 2 exons. NCBI's taxonomy places the organism in Eukaryota, Metazoa, Arthropoda, Insecta, Diptera, Culicidae. The record is from RefSeq and is a predicted model, not a curated record.
UCGAAAAAUCAGUUUGAAACUACACUUGCAAAAAUGCACACGACCCCAGCAUCAAUGAGUAAUAUAUGCUGUGCACCCGCCGCCUCAAGUAGGCUGUGGAAUCACCUAUAAAAUGUCUCUCGGUCGACAUGGACUGCAUCAUUCGGAAGUGACAGUAUUCAUAGUGGUGAUAGCAAGCUACGCAGAGCAGUUGAUUAACCGAUAUUGAAAUAUUUGUGUUUGAUAAGAUUAGUUGUUUCAGAGUAUUUUCAUAGCAGCAACCAAAAUGUCGUGUAAAUGCUGUGGUAACGCUAAUUGCAGAUGCACUACGUGCUGUGGAACAGAUAAACCAUGCGGAUCAGGAUGUGCGUGCAAAUGUGCAUGCAAGACCGGAAAGGCUUGUAGUACACCCGGAUGCUGUUAAACACAGAAGUCGCGCUGUCAGAAUCAUGGAAGAUACAAAUGUUUGAAUGACGAAAUUGAUCUUUUCCAAAUAAAAUGUAGUUUUAAACAGUGCAUUUAAUAUUUUGGUUAAAUAAAAUUCGGAUGAAAACCUAAGUCGUCCUAGAGUUAAA